Long non-coding RNA from Pectinophora gossypiella (pink bollworm), 741 nucleotides. RefSeq lists it as uncharacterized. Lineage: Eukaryota; Metazoa; Arthropoda; Insecta; Lepidoptera; Gelechiidae. The record is from RefSeq and is a predicted model, not a curated record. The transcript has 2 exons.
UAUUAUAUUCACUCAUUUUAAAAUAUGCUUUAUCAUAUAAUUCAAUCAGCGCUUAUCGCUAUCGACCCACUAGGGUCGAUUAAUUCUUUCAAAUAUUUUUCAUUUCAGACGACGUCCUAAGCCGAGGUUCGCGCCCAACUGGGCACCCUCAGGCCUGUUGUCUUAAACGUUGUACCGGGUGAGAGCCUUCAGCGCUCCCCAUUUGUCCGGCCAAGUAGUUAAUGCCAUCUGCGGCAAAUCUACAAUAAGUCACGUCAAAAAAAAAAAAAAAAAAAAAAAACGCUUUUUUUUGAAUUCAUAGGGUGUCCAAAGUAAUUUUUCUAAGCCUCAUUAACGAACGCUGUCACAUUUAAACGGUAUUCUUUAAACAUAAUACUCUCCGCAAAUAAUGCAAAAAUGAUUUGGAUCAUUUAUACAUACUCGACUUGAUGAUGCCAUUUCAAAUUGUAUUAAAAUAUUAAUAUUUUUUUUAUUGUGUGCAAAUUAAGACUGAAACUUAGCGAAUUUUGAGUGAAUGCUAUAAAUCGUAAACAAGAGCUGUUACAAAAAAAAUGAGGGUAUAUUUAGAAUCAGCGACAUCAAAUUAACAAACAUCAUGCAUCAAAAGUCAAUCAUCAGGCAAAAAUUGCAAUUUUGUUGUCCAGUGUAACCCACUCUAGAUUGACUGACAUCAAAUCUAAAACCUUGUAUGCAUUUUUGAACCAUCCAUGUCAUGUUUAAUAAACUUAAGUUAAUAAUAAA